Molecule: long non-coding RNA, 199 nt
Filed under: Ananas comosus (pineapple)
Lineage: Eukaryota; Viridiplantae; Streptophyta; Magnoliopsida; Poales; Bromeliaceae
Description: long non-coding RNA (ACOM_LNC025967)
Source: RNAcentral
UAGCAUUCGAACUUUUACCAAAAUUUCAAUUUGCAUUCUAUUCUUUUAAAAUAAACUUAAAGACCUCUAAACCUUAAUAAAAUUCUUUCGUUUUCAAUAUUUUAUAUUUUGAAUAGACAAUUUAUACCGUUAAAUAUGAUUAAAGUAUUUUAACCUAAACCAAAAUUUUUACUUUUUGACAUCAUUUACUGCAUAAUUA